GCACGUGUUCUCCUCCAGCCCCUGGAGAAAUGGCCGUCAGUCGCCAUCCCAAGGUGACUUCCCAGGUGACUCUUACAGUCACAUCUUUAGAAACUUCAUGGAUUUGUAAGUGGCCAGCUUAGGAUGAGUCAUAGCCCAAAAGACCACACCUGCUAUUUAUUCAGCACUGAGGUGAAGGUGGUGACCGAGACCCUGUCUUGGGGAAGCCCACACUCUCAAGGACAGGUAACUCCCUGGGGGUCCCCAGGCUUUCCGGGCUGAGGCUUUGCGGUCCUGUGUGAUCUUGAGUAUUUCACUGCACCACCCUGACCCUAGUGUCUUCUUCAGUGAAGUGGGGAUAACACCACCUUGCAGGAUCCUUAUGAAGGGCCCACUUUCAACAUCACCACCUCAGAGAAGACUUCCCUGACUGCUCAAUCUGUAUUUCAUGCCCUGUGAGGAUGGCGUCUCUACCCCCAGAACCUGCCCCAGAUCGCUGAGCUGGCCUACCUGAGGACAGAAUGCAGACGCAUGGCCCGUCCGGGACCCACAGCCUCUCCCGAGGUCAGAGGCCAUGACUCCUUCUCAUCACGGACCAGCUGCCUGCAGCAAAGGCCCCGACAGCCCUGCUCCCCCACCAGGACACCCCAUCCCAGUACCAUUAUCACCGUGCACGCACGCACACCCCCCCCCCCACACACAACACACACGGAAGCCCCUAUGACAAGGAUGCUCUCCUGUGAGGACUGAAAUGUAACGGUUAGAUGCACGAGCCCAAGGUUCGAGUCCCAGCCGUGGCACUUGCUGGCCGGGUGGUCCUGGGCAAAGCACUGCCCCGCAGACUGUCUGGGUCUCCUCAUCUAUAAGAUGGUGCUAUUAUUUGCACGUUGCUCAAAGAUCGUUGUGAAAGGUUGUGCACAUGCACGGCACACACUCAGUGCUCACUACCCAUCAGCGGCUCGUGGGGCGAUUGGUCUGCGCAGCCUCCAACCCCCCCUCCAAUCUGCAGACGUCUUUCCAAAUUUGCAAUUACUGGUAUCUCCUCAGAAGUCUGUGCAGUGUGUUGUUCAUGCUUUUGGGGACGACUGAGUCUGGAACCUUCCAGGACAGAAAAUGCAGGGGGCCACUAGGGCAAAGGUCAUCCUAUCACCCAGCGGUGGGGACAAAGCGCUUCUUCCUGGUCCUCCCCACCACCCCUCUCAGCGCGCGCUGCUUGGUGAUUUCACCGUUUGCCGACCCAAGAACAGUCAUUGCAUUGUUUCAUCCUCAGCCCAAUUCCACUCGCUUGACAUUUUUACCGCUAAAUUGAAUCCGCUGCCAGUAAUCUAAUUUACAUUUGAAGGCAUACACAAUGCCAA
Molecule: long non-coding RNA, 1337 nt
Organism: Suricata suricatta (meerkat)
Lineage: Eukaryota; Metazoa; Chordata; Mammalia; Carnivora; Herpestidae
Exons: 3
Source: RefSeq, a predicted model, not a curated record